AAUUAAUUUCGAGCCUAAAUUUAAGCUCAAGCUUGGAUUGAAAUUAAUUCGAGCCGAGCUCGAGCGAGCCUAAUUUCAAGUCGAGCGAGCUCGAGCCCUAAACGAGCCGCUUGAAAUUCUCAACAUUAUACGAUCAAUAGUUUAAUUUGUAUAGAACAUUAUCUAUAAUUUGCUACAAAAAUAUGUAUAAUAAUUCAUAGUACAAAAUAAUUAUAUGAAAUAUAGUAUUAUAAUAUGAAAAAAAAUAAUUUAUGAGUUGAAUAUCUAAUUUUUUCAGUCUCUCAUGUCUUUUCUUCCGCCUUCAAUCUCUAUAUUAUUUAUUUUUAUUUAUGCAGUCAAAAAUAAAUAAGUUAUAUAGAUAAAUAUUGGAUUAAACUAUCCAAUCAUAUAUAACUAAAAUUAAAAUUUUAUAUGAAUAAAAAUUUUUUACUUUAACAAUAUUCUGUAUAUUUUUUCAAACAUACAAUUAAUAGUAAGGUAGGCAACGGCGGGCAUAUGAUGUUACUUGAUAACUUAGAGGGCUUCCGGCUUGGCCACUUAGGGUGAGAGACAGAAAAAGAGAAAGAGAAACAUAUUGAAAAUUUAGAGCUCUGUGAAAGAAAUAAAGAAAGAAAGAAAACAUAUAUAAAUUUAGUAAAAUUUUGCUCUUUUAUUUGUCUAUAUUGGGUUUGUUUUUAUGGACCAACAAUAUUGGCCCAAUUUUAACUAAACUCAGAUUAUUCACUCAGCCUAUAUAUAAUUAAAAUAUAUUAUAUUUAUAUAUAUUUUAAUAUAUAUAUAGUGUAGAACUACUAUGCUAUCGAAAAUAUAGAGAAUUUGAUGCUUUUGAAUUUUUGACCAUUUGAUUAAAAAUUGUAUGGUUGAGAUGAUUGUGGUCUCACCUAGGAUUAAAUAAUACUAUUAGAAUUGAGUGGUCCUUACAAGGUAAUAAUAAUAUUAAUCCAAAGAUAAGAAACGAUUAAAGGGAUUGAUCUAAGAAUCAAAAAAUCGAAAGCACCAUAUCUCUAUACUUUCGAUAGCAUAGUAGCUCUACUAUAUAUAUAUAUAUAUAUAUAUAUAUAUAUUCGAGCUUUUCGAGCUUUUCGAGCCUAAUUCGAACGAGCCGAGUAAUACUCAAGCUCGGCUUGAAAUGAAUUUCGAGCUUUUUUUUUUGUU
Molecule: long non-coding RNA, 1155 nt
Filed under: Ananas comosus (pineapple)
Lineage: Eukaryota; Viridiplantae; Streptophyta; Magnoliopsida; Poales; Bromeliaceae
Description: long non-coding RNA (ACOM_LNC026091)
Source: RNAcentral